AGACAUUAUUCAUCCGUGCUGGGCUUGUACAUACUGUACUGUACAUGAUUGUAACUUAGUCUUUUAGUCUGUCUGUAAUCAAUAAGCAUUCAUAAGAUGUUUUACACAGCACGACAUACGAUGUCGUUUUUCAGUUACGAAGAAAUUUUGGUCUGUUAGCAAAAAUUCAUUCCCAUUGUUAUAUGUACUAACUACUAAUCCCGUAAUCCGUUAUAGUAAGCCUGAGGUCCUGCACAAUUACUUGUUGUUUUAUACCGAGCAAUUUCGUGUACUAAUCAUACGGUAGUUUUUGUGCUCGUAUCGGUGGAAGUGUCUGUACCAUCCCCGAAUCUUUACAGGAUGUUUUUUUUGCGAUUGAUUAUUGGGAUCCGAGUGCGAACACGCUAACAGCUGAUAAUGGAGUAUCAAUAAUUUUAUGUCACCGCUGCUGAUAACACUCCUGAUAGCGAUACUGUACUACAGUCAACGAGAUCGUCACACCACUGCAUGCGACCGUGCACGGUGAUCCAACUGUUCUGCAGCAGUGCAAGUCUGCAGUCCGCAAUGCCUGUCAGUUUUUCGUAUCGGUUCCUUCGAGCCCGUCACGCAUUUGCGCGAACUUUAUUGCCAUUGGCGAACGUAGCAUCCGGAGAAAUGUCCAGCGCAAACCAUAAUGUCCGGCUGUUUAGCCAGGAUGCAUGCGAGCAUGAAGAACCAAAAACGGACUUCUUCAUGCUGCACAACGGCGACAAAUUGGCGUAUAAACGCACGCACGGAUCCAACCUACCCGGAGUUAUUUUCCUACCCGGGUUUCUAUCCAAUAUGACUGGCGAAAAGGCCAAAAUACUGGAGAGAUAUUGCAAAAUUUACGAUCAUCCCUACAUCAGAUUUGAUUAUCGUGCAUGCGGAGAAUCCUCCGGUAAGCUGGAUGCCAUGACUCUGCACGAAUGGCUGGAUGAUGUCUUGACUGUGGUGGAUACUUUCACCAAUCCUGGUGAACCGCAGAUCUUGGUCGGAUCCAGCAUGGGAGGCGGAUUAAUGAUGCACGUUGCGCUGAAGCGACCGGAGCGUGUUUUUGGUCUAGUUGGAGUUGCUGCAGCCAUUGACCGGUGGACUGAUUUGGAGAAAAAUCUUUCGCCAGAGCACCGGGCUCUUCUGGACGCCGACAAGGCUGUAAUUGGACCGUGGGGUGAUUUUCCAAUCCGCAGAGCCUUCUUGGACUCAUUAUCAUCGCUAUCCCAAAGCGUAUACACCAACCAAACAAUUCCGAUCCGAUGUGCGGUCAGAUUACUCCACGGUGUCAAAGACGACGUGAUAUCGUACUCGGAUUCCAGCCAGAUUAUGAAUAAACUGGAAUCUUCCGAUGUGCAGGUGCUAAUAUCGAAAUCCGCCGACCACCGCUUCUCCAAGCCACAGGACUUGCAGAUGCUCGUCAAUUGUGUGGAUCAGUUGGUGAAGCAGUAUGAAAGUCCACUUUAGUGGGUGGUGACACACCCUCUGCCAAAACAGAUCAAAUGAUUAAACUGUGCGUGCAUUACCGUGAAUUCGUGAACGUGUUGGCCGCUUGAUUGCGACGAAGGAUAUCUGAUCGCCUUUUGUGACGCUUGUCCGCACAUCCAUGAGCAUGCAUAUUUGUUUGCCUAUGUGAAAGUUCGACGGCUUGGGUAAAGCCUAAACCAGCUGGUAUUUUGAUUCCGUCGGUGAUUACGCU
This is an RNA transcript of Paramacrobiotus metropolitanus, 1690 nucleotides long. It is a transcript of the gene named palmitoyl-protein thioesterase ABHD10, mitochondrial-like, with no coding region annotated. The record is from RefSeq and is a predicted model, not a curated record. Lineage: Eukaryota; Metazoa; Tardigrada; Eutardigrada; Parachela; Macrobiotidae. The transcript has 5 exons.